This 588-nucleotide ribosomal RNA is filed under the name Candida tropicalis. RNAcentral describes it as "partial large subunit ribosomal RNA". It matches the Rfam family "Eukaryotic large subunit ribosomal RNA", at positions 53 to 657 of the family's 3401-position model. The record is from RNAcentral. Lineage: Eukaryota; Fungi; Ascomycota; Pichiomycetes; Serinales; Debaryomycetaceae.
AGGAAAAAGAAACCAACAGGGAUUGCCUUAGUAGCGGCGAGUGAAGCGGCAAAAGCUCAAAUUUGAAAUCUGGCUCUUUCAGAGUCCGAGUUGUAAUUUGAAGAAGGUAUCUUUGGGUCUGGCUCUUGUCUAUGUUUCUUGGAACAGAACGUCACAGAGGGUGAGAAUCCCGUGCGAUGAGAUGAUCCAGGCCUAUGUAAAGUUCCUUCGAAGAGUCGAGUUGUUUGGGAAUGCAGCUCUAAGUGGGUGGUAAAUUCCAUCUAAAGCUAAAUAUUGGCGAGAGACCGAUAGCGAACAAGUACAGUGAUGGAAAGAUGAAAAGAACUUUGAAAAGAGAGUGAAAAAGUACGUGAAAUUGUUGAAAGGGAAGGGCUUGAGAUCAGACUUGGUAUUUUGUAUGUUACUUCUUCGGGGGUGGCCUCUACAGUUUAUCGGGCCAGCAUCAGUUUGGGCGGUAGGAGAAUUGCGUUGGAAUGUGGCACGGCUUCGGUUGUGUGUUAUAGCCUUCGUCGAUACUGCCAGCCUAGACUGAGGACUGCGGUUUAUACCUAGGAUGUUGGCAUAAUGAUCUUAAGUCGCCCGUCUUGA